UGGGGAAUUUUGGACAAUGGGCGAAAGCCUGAUCCAGCAAUGCCGCGUGUGUGAAGAAGGCCUUCGGGUUGUAAAGCACUUUUGUCCGGAAAGAAAUCCUUGGCUCUAAUACAGUCGGGGGAUGACGGUACCGGAAGAAUAAGCACCGGCUAACUACGUGCCAGCAGCCGCGGUAAUACGUAGGGUGCAAGCGUUAAUCGGAAUUACUGGGCGUAAAGCGUGCGCAGGCGGUUUGCUAAGACCGAUGUGAAAUCCCCGGGCUCAACCUGGGAACUGCAUUGGUGACUGGCAGGCUAGAGUAUGGCAGAGGGGGGUAGAAUUCCACGUGUAGCAGUGAAAUGCGUAGAGAUGUGGAGGAAUACCGACGGCGAAGGCAGCCCCCUGGGCCAAUACUGACGCUCAUGCACGAAAGCGUGGGGACGCAAACAGGAUUAGAUACCCUGGUAGUCCACGCCCUAAACGAUGUCAACUAGUUGUUGGGGAUUCAUUUCCUAGUAACGUAGCUAACGCGUGAAGUUGACCGCCUGGGGAGUACGGUCGCAGGAUUAAAACUCAAAUGAAUUGACGGGGUCAUAGCUGUUUCCU
This 585-nucleotide ribosomal RNA is filed under the name uncultured bacterium. RNAcentral describes it as "partial 16S ribosomal RNA". It matches the Rfam family "Bacterial small subunit ribosomal RNA", at positions 355 to 1375 of the family's 1533-position model. The record is from RNAcentral.